This 98-nucleotide microRNA precursor is filed under the name Chlorocebus sabaeus (green monkey). RNAcentral describes it as "miRNA (ENSCSAG00000023513.1)". Lineage: Eukaryota; Metazoa; Chordata; Mammalia; Primates; Cercopithecidae. The record is from RNAcentral.
UCGAUGAGAAUAAUAGAUUGGUGCAAAAGUAAUCGCGGUUUUUGCCAUCAAAAGUAAUGCCAAAAACCCGCGAUUACUUCUGUACUAACCUAAUACAU